RNAcentral lists this ribosomal RNA (253 nucleotides) under uncultured bacterium. RNAcentral's name for it is "partial 16S ribosomal RNA". It matches the Rfam family "Bacterial small subunit ribosomal RNA", at positions 524 to 776 of the family's 1533-position model. The record is from RNAcentral.
UACGUAGGUGGCGAGCGUUGUCCGGGUUUACUGGGCGUAAAGGGAGCGUAGGCGGACUUUUAAGUGAGAUGUGAAAUACUCGGGCUCAACUUGAGUGCUGCAUUUCAAACUGGAAGUCUAGAGUGCAGGAGAGGAGAAUGGAAUUCCUAGUGUAGCGGUGAAAUGCGUAGAGAUUAGGAAGAACACCAGUGGCGAAGGCGAUUCUCUGGACUGUAACUGACGCUGAGGCUCGAAAGCGUGGGGAGCAAACAGG